This 3207-nucleotide ribosomal RNA is filed under the name Microbacterium oleivorans. RNAcentral describes it as "23S ribosomal RNA". It matches the Rfam family "Bacterial large subunit ribosomal RNA". The record is from RNAcentral. Lineage: Bacteria; Bacillati; Actinomycetota; Actinomycetes; Micrococcales; Microbacteriaceae.
UUCAAAUCUUUAAGAGCAAACGGUGGAUGCCUUGGCAUCUGGAGCCGAAGAAGGACGUAGCAAUCUGCGAUAAGCCUCGGGGAACUGAUAAGCAAGUUUUGAUCCGAGGGUGUCCGAAUGGGGAAACCCCGCUGGGCGGCGUGCCGACCUAGUGACUCCCGCCUGAAUAUAUAGGGCGGGUAGAGGGAACGUGGGGAAGUGAAACAUCUCAGUACCCACAGGAAGAGAAAGCAACCGCGAUUCCGUUAGUAGUGGCGAGCGAAACCGGAACAGGCUAAACCGAGUACGUGUGAUAUCCGGCAGGAGUUGCGUAUUCGGGGUUGUGGGACUUUUCAGACAGUUCUGCCGAUCUGUCGGCGUUACAAGAAGGUAUAGACGAACCGCAUUGAAAGGCGGGUCAUAGAGGGUGCCAACCCCGUAGUCGAAAUGCCUCUCUUGACGCGAAGAGUAUCCCAAGUAGCACGGGGCCCGAGAAAUCCCGUGUGAAUCUGUCAGGACCACCUGAUAAGCCUAAAUACUCCCAGAUGACCGAUAGCGGACAAGUACCGUGAGGGAAAGGUGAAAAGUACCCCGGGAGGGGAGUGAAAUAGUACCUGAAACCGUUUGCUUACAAACCGUUGGAGCCUCCUUAGUAGGGGUGACAGCGUGCCUUUUGAAGAAUGAGCCUGCGAGUUAGCGAUAUGUGGCGAGGUUAACCCGUGUGGGGUAGCCGUAGCGAAAGCGAGUCUGAAUAGGGCGAUUCAGUCGCAUGUCCUAGACCCGAAGCGAAGUGAUCUAUCCAUGGCCAGGUUGAAGCGACGGUAAGACGUCGUGGAGGACCGAACCCACUUAGGUUGAAAACUGAGGGGAUGAGCUGUGGAUAGGGGUGAAAGGCCAAUCAAACUUCGUGAUAGCUGGUUCUCUCCGAAAUGCAUUUAGGUGCAGCGUUGCGUGUUUCUUGCCGGAGGUAGAGCUACUGGAUGGCCGAUGGGCCCUACAAGGUUACUGACGUCAGCCAAACUCCGAAUGCCGGUAAGUGAGAGCGCAGCAGUGAGACUGUGGGGGAUAAGCUUCAUAGUCGAGAGGGAAACAACCCAGACCACCAUCUAAGGUCCCAAAGCGCGUGCUAAGUGGGAAAGGAUGUGGAGUUGCUUUGACAACCAGGAGGUUGGCUUAGAAGCAGCCACCCUUGAAAGAGUGCGUAAUAGCUCACUGGUCAAGUGAUUCCGCGCCGACAAUGUAACGGGGCUCAAGCACGCCACCGAAGCUGUGGCAUUGACAUUAUUGGUAGGCCUUCGUGGUCCAGCCGUGUUGNNNNNNNNNNNNNNNNNNNNNNNNNNNNNNNNNNNNNNNNNNNNNNNNNNNNNNNNNNNNNNNNNNNNNNNNNNNNNNNNNNNNNNNNNNNNNNNNNNGAUGGGUAGGAGAGCGUCGUGUGGCCAGCGAAGCGGCGGUGUGAACCAGCCGUGGAGGCUACACGAGUGAGAAUGCAGGCAUGAGUAGCGAAAGACGUGUGAGAAACACGUCCUCCGAAAGACCAAGGGUUCCAGGGUCAAGCUAAUCUUCCCUGGGUAAGUCGGGACCUAAGGCGAGGCCGACAGGCGUAGUCGAUGGACAACGGGUUGAUAUUCCCGUACCGGCGAAGAACCGCCCAAGCUAAUCCAGUGGUGCUAAGAGUCCUAACCCGGCUGAGUGGAUCCCUUCGGGGUGAAGCCGGCCGGUCUAACGCUCGACCCCGUUCUGGUGCGGCUAGCGUAUUAACAGGUGUGACGCAGGAAGGUAGCCCAACCCGGGCGAUGGUUGUCCCGGGGCAAGUGCGUAGGCCGAGAGAUAGGCAAAUCCGUCUCUCACACAGGCUGAGACACGAUGCGGAUAAAAAGUGGGUGAUCCUAUGCUGCCAAGAAAAGCAUCGACGCGAGGUUCAAGCCGCCCGUACCCCAAACCGACUCAGGUGGUCAGGUAGAGAAUACCAAGGAGAUCGAGAGAAUCGUGGUUAAGGAACUCGGCAAAAUGCCCCCGUAACUUCGGGAGAAGGGGGGCCUUCCGCUUAUUAGGAUUUACUCCGAAAGGGCGUGGAGGCCGCAGAGACUAGUGGGUAGCGACUGUUUACUAAAAACACAGGUCCGUGCCAAGUCGCAAGACGAUGUAUACGGACUGACGCCUGCCCGGUGCUGGAAGGUUAAGAGGACCGGUUAGCCGCAAGGCGAAGCUGAGAAUUUAAGCCCCAGUAAACGGCGGUGGUAACUAUAACCAUCCUAAGGUAGCGAAAUUCCUUGUCGGGUAAGUUCCGACCUGCACGAAUGGCGUAACGACUUCCCAACUGUCUCAACCGCGAACUCGGCGAAAUUGCAUUACGAGUAAAGAUGCUCGUUACGCGCAGCAGGACGGAAAGACCCCGUGACCUUUACUAUAGCUUUGUAUUGGUGUUCGGUGUGGCUUGUGUAGGAUAGGUGGGAGACUUUGAAGCGGUGACGCCAGUUACCGUGGAGUCAUUGUUGAAAUACCACUCUGGUCACUCUGGAUAUCUAACUUCGAACCGUAAUCCGGUUCAGGGACAGUGCAUGGUGGGUAGUUUAACUGGGGCGGUUGCCUCCCAAAAAGUAACGGAGGCGCCCAAAGGUUCCCUCAACCUGGUUGGCAAUCAGGUGGCGAGUGUAAGUGCACAAGGGAGCUUGACUGUGAGACUGACAGGUCGAGCAGGGACGAAAGUCGGGACUAGUGAUCCGGCAGUGGCUUGUGGAAGCGCUGUCGCUCAACGGAUAAAAGGUACCUCGGGGAUAACAGGCUGAUCUUGCCCAAGAGUCCAUAUCGACGGCAUGGUUUGGCACCUCGAUGUCGGCUCGUCGCAUCCUGGGGCUGGAGUAGGUCCCAAGGGUUGGGCUGUUCGCCCAUUAAAGCGGUACGCGAGCUGGGUUUAGAACGUCGUGAGACAGUUCGGUCCCUAUCCGCUGCGCGCGUAGGAAAUUUGAGAGGAUCUGACCCUAGUACGAGAGGACCGGGUUGGACGAACCUCUGGUGUGCCAGUUGUUCUGCCAAGAGCACCGCUGGUUAGCUACGUUCGGGAUGGAUAACCGCUGAAAGCAUCUAAGCGGGAAGCCGGCCUCAAGAUGAGAUUUCCAUACCUUCGGGUGAGAGGCUCCCAGCCAGACUACUGGGUUGAUAGGCCGGAUGUGGAAGCGUGGUAACACGUGAAGCUGACCGGUACUAAUAAGCCGAUGAUUUGAUAACACA